Molecule: small RNA, 128 nt
Filed under: Salmonella enterica subsp. enterica serovar Infantis
Lineage: Bacteria; Pseudomonadati; Pseudomonadota; Gammaproteobacteria; Enterobacterales; Enterobacteriaceae
Description: RtT sRNA
Rfam family: RtT RNA
About the family: This family represents a bacterial cis-regulatory element known as RtT RNA. The exact function of RtT is unknown although it is thought that it may be involved in changing the cellular response in relation to amino acid starvation.
Source: RNAcentral
UGUAUCUGAAGUCUGACGAGGAUGAGAACCUCCGGGGGCAAGAGGUUCGACCCGAGCGAAGCGAGAGAACGUUGCGUCAGCAACGGCCCGCAGGGCGAGCCACGCAGUGGCGAGUCAUCCUCUAUCAC